UGGGGAAUUUUGCACAAUGGGGGAAACCCUGAUGCAGCGACGCCGCGUGAUUUAGAAGGCCUUCGGGUUGUAAAAAUCUUUUCUAUGGGAAGAAAAUGACAGUACCAUAGGAAUAAGGUCCGGCUAAAUACGUGCCAGCAGCCGCGGUAAUACGUAUGGACCGAGCGUUGUCCGGAAUCAUUGGGCGUAAAGGGUACGUAGGCGGCCUAGUAAGUUAGAAGUUAAAGAAUAUAGCUCAACUAUAUAAAGCUUUUAAAACUGCUAGGCUUGAGAGAUGGAAGGGAAAGUGGAAUUCCUAGUGUAGCGGUGAAAUGCGCAGAUAUUAGGAAGAAUACCGGUGGCGAAGGCGACUUUCUGGUCAUCAUCUGACGCUGAGGUACGAAAGCGUGGGUAGCAAACAGG
This 402-nucleotide ribosomal RNA is filed under the name Bacteroidota bacterium. RNAcentral's name for it is "Bacteroidetes bacterium partial 16S ribosomal RNA". It matches the Rfam family "Bacterial small subunit ribosomal RNA", at positions 355 to 776 of the family's 1533-position model. The record is from RNAcentral. Lineage: Bacteria; Pseudomonadati; Bacteroidota.